GUACCCGCGGCAAGACGGAAAGACCCCGUGAACCUUUACUAUAGCUUGACACUGAACAUUGAGCCUUGAUGUGUAGGAUAGGUGGGAGGCUUUGAAGCGUGGACGCCAGUCUGCGUGGAGCCGACCUUGAAAUACCACCCUUUAAUGUUUGAUGUUCUAACGUGGAUCCGUAAUCCGGGUUGCGGACAGUGUCUGGUGGGUAGUUUGACUGGGGCGGUCUCCUCCUAAAGAGUAACGGAGGAGCACGAAGGUUGGCUAAUCCUGGUCGGACAUCAGGAGGUUAGUGCAAUGGCAUAAGCCAGCUUGACUGCGAGCGUGACGGCGCGAGCAGGUGCGAAAGCAGGUCAUAGUGAUCCGGUGGUUCUGAAUGGAAGGGCCAUCGCUCAACGGAUAAAAGGUACUCCGGGGAUAACAGGCUGAUACCGCCCAAGAGUUCAUAUCGACGGCGGUGUUUGGCACCUCGAUGUCGGCUCAUCACAUCCUGGGGCUGAAGUAGGUCCCAAGGGUAUGGCUGUUCGCCAUUUAAAGUGGUACGCGAGCUGGGUUUAGAACGUCGUGAGACAGUUCGGUCCCUAUCUGCCGUGGGCGCUGGAGAACUGAGGGGGGCUGCUCCUAGUACGAGAGGACCGGAGUGGACGCAUCACUGGUGUUCGGGUUGUCAUGCCAAUGGCACUGCCCGGUAGCUAAAUGCGGAAGAGAUAAGUGCUGAAAGCAUCUAAGCACGAAACUUGCCCCGA
Molecule: ribosomal RNA, 737 nt
Filed under: Salmonella enterica subsp. enterica serovar Infantis
Lineage: Bacteria; Pseudomonadati; Pseudomonadota; Gammaproteobacteria; Enterobacterales; Enterobacteriaceae
Also listed under: 1 other name
Description: partial 23S ribosomal RNA
Rfam family: Bacterial large subunit ribosomal RNA
Source: RNAcentral